This 497-nucleotide ribosomal RNA is filed under the name uncultured bacterium. RNAcentral's name for it is "partial 16S ribosomal RNA". It matches the Rfam family "Bacterial small subunit ribosomal RNA", at positions 28 to 507 of the family's 1533-position model. The record is from RNAcentral.
GAUGAACGCUGGCGGCGUGCCUAAUACAUGCAAGUCGAGCGAACGGACGAGAAGCUUGCUUCUCUGAUGUUAGCGGCGGACGGGUGAGUAACACGUGGAUAACCUACCUAUAAGACUGGGAUAACUUCGGGAAACCGGAGCUAAUACCGGAUAAUAUUUUGAACCGCAUGGUUCAAAAGUGAAAGACGGUCUUGCUGUCACUUAUAGAUGGAUCCGCGCUGCAUUAGCUAGUUGGUAAGGUAACGGCUUACCAAGGCAACGAUGCAUAGCCGACCGGAGAGGGUGAUCGGCCACACUGGAACUGAGACACGGUCACGACUCCUACGGGAGGCAGCAGUAGGGAAUCUUCCGCAAUGGGCGAAAGCCUGACGGAGCAACGCCGCGUGAGUGAUGAAGGUCUUCGGAUCGUAAAACUCUGUUAUUAGGGAAGAACAUAUGUGUAAGUAACUGUGCACAUCUUGACGGUACCUAAUCAGAAAGCCACGGCUAACUACGUG